UCCUCCGUGGCGCAAUUGGCUAGCGCGUUCGACUGUUAAUUCGCAAGAAGAAGACAGGUUAUCGAGAGGUUGACAGUUCAAGCCUGUCCGGGGGAG
Xylariaceae sp. FL0594 is the source of this 96-nucleotide non-coding RNA. NCBI's taxonomy places the organism in Eukaryota, Fungi, Ascomycota, Sordariomycetes, Xylariales, Xylariaceae. The record is from the annotation of a GenBank genome assembly.